UGAUAAUUGAACGCUAAAGUGGACGUCCGAUGCUCUUUCGCAGAUAUGAUUAAAGCGUAACAGUAUAUAUGGAAGAUCAUUAGCUACUCCUUUCUCUCACAAUAAAGAUUUUGCGGCAAUUAAACUCGACUCUGAAUUAACAACCAUAAAUAUAACAACCGUAAAUGGAAUGGUCGCGAAAUUACGUACGGAUCAUAAUAUCAAUUAGGGAGGGAGAGAGAGAGAGAGAGAGAGAGAGAGAUGUGUUCCGCGGCAGUUUGCAAAACUUCGCGGGCAAGUGUUACUUCUUUCGGUGGAUUGCGUUUAACGAACAAGUACCAGGUUUCUCGACACCUGAUCGACCUCCGUUGAAAAAGCUUAGCCACCGACUCCGAUACCUCAUAACACCGGUUCAAUGAUAAACCGUUACCUCCGCUCGCUAAGCCCGUAAUUACCGAUAAUUAGGGCGCGAUUCGUUCUAGCGAACGCUCGCUACUUGCGCCAAAACGCAUGAAAUAUACAUCUGAAAAUUUGAAUCGUUGCAUGUGUACACCGGGUGAUCGUCGACGCGUCGAUAUACGCCGGGCGUAUCCGAAUCGGAGGUGAGUCGCAAACCGCUUAUCGCAUGUAAAACACGUACCUCGCGUCGGACGAACGAGUAGGAUGAGCAUUCGAAACGAGAAACGAAACACAAUAGGAUAGCCUUACGAAUAGGCAUCGGCGUUGGCGAUAUUUUGCCCGUUUGGUGGGAGGGUAGAGCGAAUCUGAGAGGCACAGAGGGGAGAGCCCCAAAGGCUGGAAGGCCUCCUCUUACACGCCACUCGCCUCAUGACCGGCGUCAGUGACUUCGCGUCCACCGCCACGAUCACAUCUUCAUCCAAAAAGAAAAGACGCGAUACCCUGAAAAAAGGAGGCUGAUUAAUUCGCGACUCGAAUUCAACCGUAUCGAAAUCACCGAGGAUAUCUCAGGGUCGAAGGAGAGGAAAUGCUUCUGAACGUGAAGGGUCAUUCGAAUGCCUACUUGUAGUGCCUCGACGGCAAGACGCAUCGAUCGCACAAAUGAUCCUGAUUCAUCGAUCGAUCACCCAUGAAUGGAUCGUGAAUCUUUCCCGGAUGCAAAUUAUCCGGAAGAAACAGUUCGAGCAUUUAGAUAACUUCUCUUCAUCGAUGUCGACGUCGAUUCGCUACAACAAAAAUACCGAACUCGACUUGUGAGAUGUGAGAAC
Athalia rosae (coleseed sawfly) is the source of this 1205-nucleotide long non-coding RNA. RefSeq lists it as uncharacterized. NCBI's taxonomy places the organism in Eukaryota, Metazoa, Arthropoda, Insecta, Hymenoptera, Athaliidae. The transcript is spliced from 2 exons. The record is from RefSeq and is a predicted model, not a curated record.